This 498-nucleotide ribosomal RNA is filed under the name uncultured bacterium. RNAcentral describes it as "partial 16S ribosomal RNA". It matches the Rfam family "Bacterial small subunit ribosomal RNA", at positions 28 to 507 of the family's 1533-position model. The record is from RNAcentral.
GAUGAGCGCUGGCGGCGUGCCUAAUACAUGCAAGUCGAGCGAACGGACGAGAAGCUUGCUUCUCUGAUGUUAGCGGCGGACGGGUGAGUAACACGUGGAUAACCUACCUAUAAGACUGGGAUAACUUCGGGAAACCGGAGCUAAUACCGGAUAAUAUUUUGAACCGCAUGGUUCAAAAGUGAAAGACGGUCCUGCUGUCACUUAUAGAUGGAUCCGCGCUGCAUUAGAUAGUUGGUAAGGUAACGGCUUACCAAGGCAACGAUGCAUAGCCGACCUGAGAGGGGGGUCGGCCAGAGUGGGACUGAGACACGGCCCAAAAUCCUACGGGAGGGAGCAGGAGGGAAUCGGAGGCAAGGGACGAAAGUCUGACCGAGCAACGCCGCGGGAGUGAAGAAGGGUGUCGGAUCGUAAAACGCGGUUGGUAGAGAAGAAAGUUGGGGAGAGGGGAAAGCGCAUCAAGUGACGGUAACUACCCAGAAAGGGACGGCUAACUACGUG